CACUCUCAACAUACCAUCAACAAUUACACCUGCACCACCAUCUUCUUCUCCGGAACACCGCAAAACCACCACCACUAGCCUCCAUCAUAAACCCUGCACCACUUUUUGGUAUUCGUAGAUCUGAAAGAUGGCGGUGGUUCUUCGUCGUUGUUGUACUCUUCAUGUCUCACAUGUCGGAACCCCAGCCCUUAAUACCAUCAGACUUCUGAAACAUUCGUCAGGGGUGGUAGUGGUUACAGAUCAUGGAAACGAUGGCGUUGCAAAUGGUGGCGACGUUGGUUGUUUUAGCAUCGUUGAUGGGUGCUGAUGCCUUCCGACAAAAGAGAUGGUGUUGUGAAGAAAUAGUGAUGGAUUCCAACGGGGUGAGGGGUGGCGAUUAGAAAAAUAUUAUAUUUGUGAUGUCGUGUAUGCACAUACGAGGAUUUAUGGCUCCAUAUCGUAAUGUGAGGUAUUGGCUUGGAGAUUUUCGUCGAAGACGUACAUUGACUAAUAAAGAGAAAUUAACCAUGCACAUGCAAAACUUCCGGAACGUCAUUGAGCGUGCUUUUAGUGUCUUGAAAGCACAAUUCCCUAUAUUAAAGAGGAUGACACCAUUUCCAUUGGUUACACAAAGGAACAUUACCAUUGCAUGUUUCGCAGUACAAAAUUUUAUAAGGAAAGAGGGUUUGAGCGAUGAGUUGUUUCAGAAUACGAUCAACCCAAUGUUUCCUUACAUAAUAGGCAAGUGCAUGUUGAUGCUGAUGAAGACGAGGUUGAAGCACAUUGUACUGCAUCAGAUCGGGAAUAUAUGACUCAGUUAUGAGAUGAGAUUGUUGAGCAGUUAGUGCAAAGUAUGGAAUAAAUGAUUUAAAAAAAUGUUGUUGUGUUUUUAUGAAUAUUAUUUACGUUGUGUAUAACUAUUAUUUGAA
This is a long non-coding RNA of Helianthus annuus (common sunflower), 908 nucleotides long. RefSeq lists it as uncharacterized. The transcript has 2 exons. NCBI's taxonomy places the organism in Eukaryota, Viridiplantae, Streptophyta, Magnoliopsida, Asterales, Asteraceae. The record is from RefSeq and is a predicted model, not a curated record.